AGUGAACGCUGGCGGUAGGCCUAACACAUGCAAGUCGAACGGCAGCACAGUAAGAGCUUGCUCUUACGGGUGGCGAGUGGCGGACGGGUGAGGAAUACAUCGGAAUCUACUUUUUCGUGGGGGAUAACGUAGGGAAACUUACGCUAAUACCGCAUACGACCUACGGGUGAAAGCAGGGGAUCUUCGGACCUUGCGCGAUUGAAUGAGCCGAUGUCGGAUUAGCUAGUUGGCGGGGUAAAGGCCCACCAAGGCGACGAUCCGUAGCUGGUCUGAGAGGAUGAUCAGCCACACUGGAACUGAGACACGGUCCAGAGUCCUACGGGAGGCAGCAGUGGGGAAUAUUGGACAAUGGGCGCAAGCCUGAUCCAGCCAGACCGCGUGGGUGAAGAAGGCCUUCGGGUUGUAAAGCCCUUUUGUUGGGAAAGAAAAGCAGCAGGUUAAUACCCCGCUGUUCUGACGGUACCCAAAGAAUAAGCACCGGCUAACUUCGUG
RNAcentral lists this ribosomal RNA (492 nucleotides) under uncultured bacterium. Its description in RNAcentral is "partial 16S ribosomal RNA". It matches the Rfam family "Bacterial small subunit ribosomal RNA", at positions 29 to 507 of the family's 1533-position model. The record is from RNAcentral.